GUUUUGGUAAAUGAUAAGUUAAGCAAGGAUGUGCUAAGAGAUUAUUACAGGUUAAAGAGGUAGAAAGCAAAAGGUAGAUCAUAAAAGGUCAAUGUUGUAUGUUGCAACAAUUUGAUAUGUUUUAGUGGAAAUAAGAUAGCAUUGUCAUAUACUUUGUUAACAUUUGCCAUAAUCAGUGUAGGUUAAUGAAGCUUUUGGGCGGUGAUGGAUAAUUGACUAAGAGUGCUCUCUUCCUGUUAGUGAAUCUUAGGAUGUUUAUGUCUAAGUUAACUCAGUUGUAUGCAAAUGAGAUAGUAACACUAAAUGGAGUAUCAUUAAGUGUCAUAAAAGAUAAAAAUCUCGAUACCUGAGGAUGAUGUUUGCCUAUCAUUCUCAA
This 376-nucleotide long non-coding RNA is filed under the name Vigna radiata. Its description in RNAcentral is "long non-coding RNA (VRAD_LNC010872)". The record is from RNAcentral. Lineage: Eukaryota; Viridiplantae; Streptophyta; Magnoliopsida; Fabales; Fabaceae.